GAGGUUGUGGCUCAGCGGUAGAGUGCUCACCUCACAUGUGGGAGGCCCUGGGUUCGAUCCUCAGUACCACA
Non-coding RNA from Ictidomys tridecemlineatus (thirteen-lined ground squirrel), 71 nucleotides. The record is from Rfam. NCBI's taxonomy places the organism in Eukaryota, Metazoa, Chordata, Mammalia, Rodentia, Sciuridae.